UGCCAGCAGCCGCGGUAAUACGAGGGGGGCAAGUGUUGUUCGGAAUUACUGGGCGUAAAGGGAGCGUAGGCGGGACAUUAAGUCAGGUGUUUAAUCCUGGGGCCCAACCCCAGGCUCGCAUUUGAAACUGAUGUUCUUGAAUAUGGUAGAGGUAGGCGGAAUUCCGGGUGUAGCGGUGGAAUGCGUAGAUAUCCGGAAGAACACCAAUUGCGAAGGCAGCCUACUGGGCCAUUAUUGACGCUGAGGCUCGAAAGCGUGGGGAGCGAACAGGAUUAGAUA
Molecule: ribosomal RNA, 279 nt
Filed under: uncultured bacterium
Lineage: Bacteria
Description: partial 16S ribosomal RNA
Rfam family: Bacterial small subunit ribosomal RNA
Source: RNAcentral